CUGCCCAUUCAUAGAUGCCUAUUUCUUGUUUUUGUUCAGCUAUGUUUCUUUUGUACUCGCAUGCUGGAAGAAAGUUUCUUUUGUUGAUCGGUUAGAUGGGUUUGGCUGACUUGAACCAUAUAAGGAUGCGUUUAAGAACUUAUAAAUUCUUUUCAGCUCGAUCUUUUAUGCAUUGGAAACUGUGAAUUUGGAAUUGUGAAACAAAAGAUGCUAUAUGUAUUUCGUUUAUAUUUUGUUAGGCAGCAUAUGCUAUCUAGUUCUAGAUUCCUCAUUUGCAUCUCAUUUAUUUGAACCAAGAAAAAUCACCCCAUCUAUUUCACGACCCUAUAUAAGAACCCAGCUAUUUGGAUCAAAAUAUGAUAUAUGAUCAAACAUGACUUCCUUUUGUAAGGUAUUCCAUUAAAUAAUAAUAAUAACAACACGUACAUCCUCGUUCAUUCCUCUGAAGUAUUGGUAGUGUCUGUUGAAGAAAUGAUGCCCUUUCAGGAAAGUGGCUUUGGGGAAUUUGGGUACAUACAGGAUGCUCUUUUGGGGAAGGUAAUUGUGGCUAAGUAUGGGGACAUAAAGGGUAGAGGAGAGAUCAUCAUUAUUCUGGAUCAUUGGCGCUGAAGAUUUGCUUGUCAUGUCUUUUUUUAUUUUUUUAUUUUUUAUUUUUUUAUAAUUUUAAAGAAGAAGAUUUUCUUGCAAAUGCAGUAUGGAAUGCAGUUUUCGGAACACAUUUGAAAGAUGACGAAAUACCUCUCCUUGUAGAGAUUCUUCAUUUCCUCUAUGGCAUCUACAUCCUGUGGGAGGGUUUGUAUAUGGGAGUGUGGAUGGAUGAUAAUUUGUUAAUUGGUAGCAACCGACAUAAUACUUGCAUGUGGCCAUUUACAAGGUUGGAUGAUCCUACAUUUGGAGCUUUUUAUUAACCUCUUUGGUAUUGGCUCAGUCUUUCCAUACGAGGGAAUUGAAAUUUUCUCAUUGUAGAAUUAAAGUUCUGACCACAUCAGAAAUGACUUUGGAGAUGCAUUCCAUAUGCUUAUAUUUUGGGGUAUUGGAGUGAAGGAACAAUGUAAUCUUAUGAGAUGUGAAGAAUUUGCUUUCCAGAGUGUGGAGAAAAUUAAGGUGACUCUUGUCUAUUUGGUUCUUUAUAAAAAGGAAAUUUGGGAAAUAGUUUCACUGACAUUGAUGAAGAUGUUUCCAAAGUGUCAUGUUUUGUUCCUUCAAAAUGAUAUUUUUCAUUAUUUUAGCUCAAUUAUUCAAAAGGAUGGGAGAUUGCCAAGGAUGUUUCCAAUAGAAUUGGAGUAUAGUGGAUGAAAUGCCUAUGGAGUGUUGUGGGAUCUUCACAUGUGUAUGAAAUUUGAGAAAAAUGUUUAUAAGAGGAGCAACCAUUCUAUAUGUGGCUGCUUUUUUUUUUUUUCCCAGUUCGAAGGCAUAAUCAAAUGAGUUGAGAUGGAGUGCAUAUCUGAGAAUAUUGGGAUGGAUGCCAUCUGAAGCAACCUAGAAGUCCCAAUAAGUGAAAAUGAUGGUGGACAUGUUGAGAUGGUAUGGUCAUGUGCAUCAAAUUCCAAAGAAGGCUCUAAAGAAGGGAAACAAGUAACCCCCUCCUCCUUGCUUCUUCUCUCAUGGGCUUAGAUUAUCAAAUUCAAAUGUGGAUAUUCUUGCAAAGCAAGGAGUUGAGCGCAGAGAGUUGGCCAUGGUUGACCUUAGGCAAGUUUCAUGAUGUCCAAUCAGUUUGGAAUGGUAUUUUGUAUUUUUUAAAGCCAUUUGAUCUGUUGUUGUUUGGGCUUCAUCUUUUGUUGUUGUUUGAGUCGUAGUGCUAAUAGUAUUCUUCCAUUAAAAAAGAAAAAACAGAAGGGGAACAUUGAGUAGGUUCAGAGCAAGGUAUUCCAUAACGGUAAUGGUGGUUGUAACGGCCACCGUUGUUACUGUCAGCGUUUUAAAUAUCGAUGAUAUCGGACAAUAUAUCCCACGAUAUAUCUUAUAUCUCACUUGUACGAUACGAAACACACAAGUAGUGGGAUAUAUCCCACACGUUCGAUCCGGUGAGCAUUU
Molecule: long non-coding RNA, 2034 nt
Organism: Magnolia sinica
Lineage: Eukaryota; Viridiplantae; Streptophyta; Magnoliopsida; Magnoliales; Magnoliaceae
Exons: 2
Source: RefSeq, a predicted model, not a curated record